GUUCUGUCUCCCUUUCUGAUAUUUCCCACACAUUUCUUCUCCCUUCCCUUAUUUUCCCUUUCACUAUUAUUUAUAUUCCCCAAAUGAAUGAGAACAUAUAAUGUUUGUCCUUCUCCGACUGACUUACUUCACUCAGCAUAAUACCCUCCAGUUCCAUCCACGUUGAAGCAAAUGGUGGGUAUUUGUCAUUUCUAAUAGCUGAGAAGUAAUGGUUUAAGAAUACAUCCAGCAUUUUGAUGUGUUAAGUAACUAGUAUUUAUGGAAUUCCAUUAAAUAAAUUUUAAUAUGUAUACGAGGUUCCUAUGAAAACCCAUAAUGGGAUGUAUUUGAUUAGUUUCUUUGUUGUAAUUCAGUGUUUAAUUUACCUAUGCUCUAUAUCCAUAAAUGACAUCAUCGUUAGACAUAGUAUGAUAUAGUAGGAAAUGCACAAGUUUUUAGAUAGAAAUCAGUUCCAUUAUUUACAUGCUGUAACCUUUCCAACAUGGCUGCUGUGAUGCACAACUUUAUUUUAUUUAUUUAUUUAUUUAUUUUAACCAAUCGAUGCACAACUUUAGAGGCCAUCAUUCAUAUUUGUUGUGUUCCAGGGAACACCAUUUUCUUCUUUUUUUUUUUUUUAAGAUUUUAUUUAUUCACGAGAGAGAGAGAGAGAGAGAGGCAGAGACACAGACACAAGCUCCAUGCACCGGGAGCCCGAUGUGGGAUUCGAUCCCGGGUCUCCAGGAUCGCGCCCUGGGCCAAAGGCAGGCGCCAAACCGCUGCGCCACCCAGGGAUCCCCCCAGUCCUACUUUAAAGAGGAAAAAAAAUGGUUUAGGGAAGGUGCAAAAGUUACACAACUGAUUGGUGGGAGAACAAGGAUUCCAGUCUAGAUCUAUCAAAUUCAAGAGCCUAAACGCUAAGCAUCUCCCCACACCAUUCAACAAAUGUUUAUUGAAAUGAAAAUUAUGUGUAUGUGGCCUAUAGACAGAUAACUUCAAAUAUAUUCAAAUAUCACUCAAUAUUA
Molecule: long non-coding RNA, 1001 nt
Filed under: Canis lupus familiaris (dog)
Lineage: Eukaryota; Metazoa; Chordata; Mammalia; Carnivora; Canidae
Description: lncRNA (ENSCAFG00000056335.1)
Source: RNAcentral